ACCAGGCACUGUGGCGCAUGCCUGUAGUCCCAGCUACUUGGAAGGCUGAGGUGGGAGGAUCGCUUGAGCCCAGGAGUUCUGUUCUAUAGUGCACUAUGCUAAUUGAGUGUCCACACUAAGUGUGGCAUCAAUAUGGUGACCUCUUGGGAGCAGGGACCACCAGGUUGCCUAGGGUGGGGUGAACCAGCCCAGGUCAGAAAUGGAGCAGGUCAAAACUCCCUUGCUGAUCAGUGAUGGGAUCCCGCCUGUGAAUAGCCACUGCACUCCAGCCUGGGCAAUAUAGUGAGACCCCAUUUCU
RNAcentral lists this signal recognition particle RNA (298 nucleotides) under Cebus imitator (Panamanian white-faced capuchin). RNAcentral describes it as "Metazoan signal recognition particle RNA (ENSCCAG00000007282.1)". It matches the Rfam family "Metazoan signal recognition particle RNA". From Rfam's summary of the family: The signal recognition particle (SRP) is a universally conserved ribonucleoprotein. It is involved in the co-translational targeting of proteins to membranes. Lineage: Eukaryota; Metazoa; Chordata; Mammalia; Primates; Cebidae. The record is from RNAcentral.